GACGAACGCUGGCGGCGUGCUUAACACAUGCAAGUCGAACGGUAAAGGCGGAGCUUGCUCUGCUGGAUCAGUGGCGAACGGGUGAGUAACACGUGAGUAACCUGCCCCUGACUCUGGGAUAAGUGCUGGAAACGGCGUCUAAUACUGGAUACGAGCUGCGACGGCAUCUUCGGCAGCUGGAAAGUAUUUCGGUCGGGGAUGAGCUCGCGGCCUAUCAGCUUGUUGGUGGGGUAAUGGCUUACCAAGGCGUUGACGGGUAGCCGGCCUGAGAGGGUGACCGGCCACACUGGGACUGAGACACGGCCCAGACUCCUACGGGAGGCAGCAGUGGGGAAUAUUGCACAAUGGGCGGAAGCCUGAUGCAGCAACGCCGCGUGAGGGAUGACGGCCUUCGGGUUGUAAACCGCUUUUGCCAGGGAAGAAGCGAGAGUGACGGUAAUUGCAGAAGAAGCACCGGCUAACUACGUG
This 468-nucleotide ribosomal RNA is filed under the name uncultured bacterium. RNAcentral describes it as "partial 16S ribosomal RNA". It matches the Rfam family "Bacterial small subunit ribosomal RNA", at positions 28 to 507 of the family's 1533-position model. The record is from RNAcentral.